GGUGAAUGACAUCAUGCAUUACCUCAUGUAUAAUGCAAUAACUAUUAUAAUUAAUAAAUUUAUUCAAAUUAAAUUGUGGUUUUCCAUAAAGGAUAAAAAUCAUAAAAGAAAGAAAAAAAAUAAAAGAGAGUCAUCUUCAUCCCUAGCUGUGAACCCACCUCUCUCACCUCUCCCUCUCCACAAACUCCAUAAAAGCUCAUUUUUGAGCUUGAAUAUUACAAAAUUCCACCAUAGAAAAGUAAGCCACCAUAGUUAAAGCUUAUCAUAUGCAAG
Molecule: unclassified non-coding RNA, 273 nt
Filed under: Hevea brasiliensis (rubber tree)
Lineage: Eukaryota; Viridiplantae; Streptophyta; Magnoliopsida; Malpighiales; Euphorbiaceae
Source: RNAcentral